UACGUAGGUGGCAAGCGUUGUCCGGAUUUACUGGGUGUAAAGGGCGUGCAGCCGGAGAGACAAGUCAGAUGUGAAAUCCACGGGCUCAACCCGUGAACUGCAUUUGAAACUGUUUCCCUUGAGUGUCGGAGAGGUAAUCGGAAUUCCUUGUGUAACGGUGAAAUGCGUAGAUAUAAGGAAGAACACCAGUGGCGAAGGCGGAUUACUGGACGAUAACUGACGGUGAGGCGCGAAAGCGUGGGGAGCAAACAGG
This 253-nucleotide ribosomal RNA is filed under the name uncultured bacterium. Its description in RNAcentral is "partial 16S ribosomal RNA". It matches the Rfam family "Bacterial small subunit ribosomal RNA", at positions 524 to 776 of the family's 1533-position model. The record is from RNAcentral.